This 468-nucleotide ribosomal RNA is filed under the name uncultured bacterium. RNAcentral's name for it is "partial 16S ribosomal RNA". It matches the Rfam family "Bacterial small subunit ribosomal RNA", at positions 28 to 507 of the family's 1533-position model. The record is from RNAcentral.
GACGAACGCUGGCGGCGUGCUUAACACAUGCAAGUCGAACGGAAAGGCCCUGCUUUUGUGGGGUGCUCGAGUGGCGAACGGGUGUGUAACACGUGAGUAACCUGCCCUUGACUUUGGGAUAACUUCAGGAAACUGGGGCUAAUACCGGAUAGGAGCUCCUGCUGCAUGGUGGGGGUUGGAAAGUUUCGGCGGUUGGGGAUGGACUCGCGGCUUAUCAGCUUGUUGGUGGGGUAGUGGCUUACCAAGGCUUUGACGGGUAGCCGGCCUGAGAGGGUGACCGGCCACAUUGGGACUGAGAUACGGCCCAGACUCCAACGGGAGGCAGCGGUGGGGAAUAUUGCACAAUGGGCGGAAGCCUGAUGCAGCAACGCCGCGUGCGGGAUAACGGCCUUCGGGUUGUAAACCGCUUUCGCCUGUGACGAAGCGUGAGUGACGGUAAUGGGUAAAGAAGCACCGGCUAACUACGUG